This 210-nucleotide unclassified non-coding RNA is filed under the name Hevea brasiliensis (rubber tree). The record is from RNAcentral. Lineage: Eukaryota; Viridiplantae; Streptophyta; Magnoliopsida; Malpighiales; Euphorbiaceae.
CCGCCUGCGGUUGCACUAGGCCAAAGUGAAGAAUUGCAUGGCGUUGACUUGUCUGAACCAAGCACCAAAACCAAGCACAAGAGAACCGCAGUGAUAAUUGGAUUCUCAUCAGGAGUAGUAGUUUUAAUUGGUUCGCUUAUUUGCUUUGUGACGGCUGUGAGGAAACAGAGAAACCAAAAGCCAUCAACAGCUGUCAUUGCGUCUGAUGGA